CGAAGGGUGCAAGCGUUAUCCGGAUUCAUGGGUUUAAAGGGUGCGUAGGCGGGGCAAUAAGUCAGUGGUGAAAUCCUGCGGCUUAACCGUAGAAUUGCCAUUGAUACUGUUGCUCUUGAGUAGGCUCGACGUGGGCGGAAUGUGCCGUGUAGCGGUGAAAUGCUUAGAUAUGGCACAGAACACCGAUAGUGAAGACAGCUCACGAGGGCCAAACUGACGCUGAGGCACGAAAGCGUGGGGAUCGAACAGGAUUAGAUACCCUGGUAGUCCACGCCGUAAACGAUGAUCACUCGUUAUUGGCGAUAUACGGUCAGUAACCUAGCGAAAGCGUUAAGUGAUCCACCUGGGGAGUACGAUCGCAAGAUUG
RNAcentral lists this ribosomal RNA (367 nucleotides) under uncultured organism. RNAcentral's name for it is "bacterial SSU rRNA". It matches the Rfam family "Bacterial small subunit ribosomal RNA", at positions 526 to 896 of the family's 1533-position model. The record is from RNAcentral.